This 465-nucleotide ribosomal RNA is filed under the name uncultured bacterium. RNAcentral describes it as "partial 16S ribosomal RNA". It matches the Rfam family "Bacterial small subunit ribosomal RNA", at positions 338 to 795 of the family's 1533-position model. The record is from RNAcentral.
CCUACGGGCGGCUGCAGUGGGGAAUAUUGCGCAAUGGGCGAAAGCCUGACGCAGCGACGCCGCGUGAGGGAUGAAGGUUUUCGGAUUGUAAACCUCUGUCAGCAGGGAAGAACGGUCACUGUGCUAAUCAGCAGUGAAUUGACGGUACCUGCAAAGGAAGCACCGGCUAACUCCGUGCCAGCAGCCGCGGUAAGACGGAGGUUGCGAGCGGUAAUCGGAAUUACUGGGCGUAAAGCGCUCGUAGGAGGUAUGUCAAGUCAAGGGUGAAAUCCCCGCGCUCAACGUGGGAACUGCCUUUGAAACUGGCAAACUGGAGUGUGGGAGAGGAUAGUGGAAUUCCAGGUGUAGGAGUGAAAUCCGGAGAUAUCUGGAGGAACAUCAGUGGCGAAGGCGACUAUCUGGCACGUAACUGACGCUGAGGAGCGAAAGCGUGGGGAGCAAACAGGAUUAGAUACCCGUGUAGUC